GUGGGGAAUUUUGGACAAUGGGCGCAAGCCUGAUCCAGCAAUGCCGCGUGCAGGAAGAAGGCCUUCGGGUUGUAAACUGCUUUUGUACGGAACGAAACGGCUCUGGUUAAUACCUGGGGCUAAUGACGGUACCGUAAGAAUAAGCACCGGCUAACUACGUGCCAGCAGCCGCGGUAAUACGUAGGGUGCAAGCGUUAAUCGGAAUUACUGGGCGUAAAGCGUGCGCAGGCGGUUGUGUAAGACAGGCGUGAAAUCCCCGGGCUCAACCUGGGAAUUGCAUCUGUGACUGCACGGCUGGAGUGCGGCAGAGGGGGAUGGAAUUCCGCGUGUAGCAGUGAAAUGCGUAGAUAUGCGGAGGAACACCGAUGGCGAAGGCAAUCCCCUGGGCCUGCACUGACGCUCAUGCACGAAAGCGUGGGGAGCAAACAGGAUUAGAUACCCUAGUAGUCC
This 450-nucleotide ribosomal RNA is filed under the name uncultured bacterium. Its description in RNAcentral is "bacterial SSU rRNA". It matches the Rfam family "Bacterial small subunit ribosomal RNA", at positions 354 to 796 of the family's 1533-position model. The record is from RNAcentral.